AUGACUGGCGUGUGGGUAUUCGAGGACGGGAUCGUGAGGCGGGCGGACAGCGAGGCGCCCGGCCGCAGCGGCGGGAGCGGGGCGCGGCCGGGCAAAGUGCUGGUGCAUGUGCCGAGCGGCGAGGUGGUGACCACGUACGGCGUCCUGGAGCGACGGCUGCAGGAGCUGGGGUGGGAGCGCUACCUCAACGACCCGUGCCUGCUCCAGUUCCACCAGCGCUCCACCGUGCACCUCAUCUCCGUCCCGCGAGACUUCGCCCGCCUCAAGCUCGUCCACAUGUACGACGUCGUCGUCAAGACGCGCAACGUGUUCGAGGUCCGCGACGCGUGA
RNAcentral lists this ribosomal RNA (330 nucleotides) under Triticum aestivum (bread wheat). RNAcentral describes it as "partial small subunit ribosomal RNA". Lineage: Eukaryota; Viridiplantae; Streptophyta; Magnoliopsida; Poales; Poaceae. The record is from RNAcentral.